Molecule: ribosomal RNA, 497 nt
Filed under: uncultured bacterium
Lineage: Bacteria
Description: partial 16S ribosomal RNA
Rfam family: Bacterial small subunit ribosomal RNA
Source: RNAcentral
GAUGAACGCUGGCGGCGUGCCUAAUACAUGCAAGUCGAGCGAACAGACGAGGAGCUUGCUCCUCUGACGUUAGCGGCGGACGGGUGAGUAACACGUGGAUAACCUACCUAUAAGACUGGGAUAACUUCGGGAAACCGGAGCUAAUACCGGAUAACAUGUUGAACCGCAUGGUUCAACAGUGAAAGACGGUCUUGCUGUCACUUAUAGAUGGAUCCGCGCCGCAUUAGCUAGUUGGUAAGGUAACGGCUUACCAAGGCAACGAUGCGUAGCCGACCUGAGAGGGUGAUCGGCCACACUGGAACUGAGGCACGGUCCAGACUCCUACGGGAGGCAGCAGUAGGGAAUCUUCCACAAUGGGCGAAAGCCUGACGGAGCAACGCCGCGUGAGUGAAGAAGGUCUUCGGAUCGUAAAACUCUUUUAUUAGGGAAGAACAAAUGUGUAAGUAACUAUGCACGUCUUGACGGUACCUAAUCAGAAAGCCACGGCUAACUACGUG